RNAcentral lists this ribosomal RNA (261 nucleotides) under uncultured archaeon. RNAcentral's name for it is "partial 16S ribosomal RNA". It matches the Rfam family "Archaeal small subunit ribosomal RNA", at positions 748 to 1009 of the family's 1478-position model. The record is from RNAcentral.
UAGCCGUAAACGAUACUCGCUAGGUGUCGGCCGCGGUGCGACCGUUGUCGGUGCCGUAGGGAAGCCGUGAAGCGAGCCACCUGGGAAGUACGGCCGCAAGGCUGAAACUUAAAGGAAUUGGCGGGGGAGCACCACAACGGGUGGAGCUUGCGGUUUAAUUGGAUUCGACGCCGGAAAUCUUACCGGGACCGACAGCAACAUGAAGGCCAGGCUGAAGACUUUGCCGGAUUAGCUGAGAGGAGGUGCAUGGCGUAGUCGUGU